RNAcentral lists this ribosomal RNA (254 nucleotides) under uncultured bacterium. Its description in RNAcentral is "partial 16S ribosomal RNA". It matches the Rfam family "Bacterial small subunit ribosomal RNA", at positions 524 to 776 of the family's 1533-position model. The record is from RNAcentral.
UACGUAGGGACCAAGCGUUGUUCGGAUUUACUGGGCGUAAAGGGCGCGUAGGCGGCAAUUCAAGUCAUCUGUGAAGUCUCCGGGCUUAACUCGGAACGGUCAGAUGAUACUGCUUUGCUCGAGUGCGGAAGGGGCAAUCGGAAUUCUUGGUGUAGCGGUGAAAUGCGUAGAUACCAAGAGGAACACCUGAGGUGAAGACGGGUUGCUGGGCCGACACUGACGCUGACAGCGCGAAAGCCAGGGGAGCAAACGGG